AGUUUUGGCGGCUCGACGUGCGGGCGCAAGCCCGGCCGGUUUCCAGUGGUUGCCCGGUAGUCCAACUCGUCGAGCCGCCGCCCCG
RNAcentral lists this non-coding RNA (85 nucleotides) under Variovorax guangxiensis. Lineage: Bacteria; Pseudomonadati; Pseudomonadota; Betaproteobacteria; Burkholderiales; Comamonadaceae. The record is from RNAcentral.